UACGGAGGGUGCGAGCGUUAAUCGGAAUUACUGGGCGUAAAGGGUGCGUAGGUGGUUUGAUAAGUUAUCUGUGAAAUACCCGGGCUUAACCUGGGGGAGUCAGAUAAGACUGUUGAGCUUGAGUACAGGAGAGGGCAGUGGAAUUUCCGGUGUAGCGGUGAAAUGCUUAGAGAUCACACAGAAUAUCGAUUGCGAAGGCAGCUCACAAAGCCAAGAUUGACGCUGAGGCACGAAAGUGUGGGGAUCAAACAGGAUUAGAUA
Molecule: ribosomal RNA, 261 nt
Filed under: uncultured prokaryote
Description: partial 16S ribosomal RNA
Rfam family: Bacterial small subunit ribosomal RNA
Source: RNAcentral